Molecule: ribosomal RNA, 580 nt
Filed under: uncultured bacterium
Lineage: Bacteria
Description: bacterial SSU rRNA
Rfam family: Bacterial small subunit ribosomal RNA
Source: RNAcentral
CGGGAGCAUCCUGGUGGCGAGUGGCGAACGGCGUGAGUAACAUAUCGGAACGUGCCCAGUAAUGGGGGAUAGCCCGGCGAAAGCCGGAUUAAUACCGCAUACGACCUACGGGUGAAAGCGGGGGAUUGCAAGACCUCGCGUUAUUGGAGCGGCCGAUAUCAGAUUAGCUUGUUGGUGGGGUAAAAGCCCACCAAGGCGACGAUCUGUAGCUGGUCUGAGAGGACGACCAGCCACACUGGGACUGAGACACGGCCCACACUCCUACGGGAGGCAGCAGUGGGGAAUUUUGGACAAUGGGCGCAAGCCUGAUCCAGCCAUGCCGCGUGUGGGAAGAAGGCCUUCGGGUUGUAAACCACUUUUGUCAGGGAAGAAACGGCUCUUACUAAUAUUAGGAGCUAAUGACGGUACCUGAAGAAUAAGCACCGGCUAACUACGUGCCAGCAGCCGCGGUAAUACGUAGGGUGCAAGCGUUAAUCGGAAUUACUGGGCGUAAAGCGUGCGCAGGCGGUUUUGCAAGACAGAUGUGAAAUCCCCGGGCUCAACCUGGGAACUGCAUUUGUGACUGCAUGGCUAGAGUACG